Molecule: non-coding RNA, 74 nt
Organism: Podarcis lilfordi (Lilford's wall lizard)
Lineage: Eukaryota; Metazoa; Chordata; Lepidosauria; Squamata; Lacertidae
Source: the annotation of a GenBank genome assembly
GCUCCAGUGGCACAAUGCGUCAGUGUGUUUGGCUGUGAACCAGAAGGUUGGUGGUUCGAGUCCACUCAGGGACG